CCUGACUUAACGUUUUUUCUAUUCACACAUAACGUGUGAGUGAAACGACUCUCUUUACGCUUCCGUUUGUUGACAACAUGAAGUUCAAUGUAUAACAAUUAAAACAUUAGAAUGCUAACCAAGUAAAAACUUAGGAUGAGGUCAGUUUAUUUCAAUCUACAUUUUUCUCUAUUCUCCACG
Long non-coding RNA from Bradysia coprophila, 180 nucleotides. NCBI's taxonomy places the organism in Eukaryota, Metazoa, Arthropoda, Insecta, Diptera, Sciaridae. The record is from RefSeq and is a predicted model, not a curated record.